RNAcentral lists this ribosomal RNA (1360 nucleotides) under uncultured bacterium. Its description in RNAcentral is "partial 16S ribosomal RNA". The stretch from base 170 to 1360 matches the Rfam family "Bacterial small subunit ribosomal RNA". The record is from RNAcentral.
GCAUGGCUAAUACCUGUCUAUCAAGCCGAUGGACCACUACCUUGCUUCUCUGACUUUUCCGGUUUUUUGGUGACUAGCUGCCGUAUAACCUUCCUUUGAAACUGUAAUGGCUUCCCCCGAUUUAAACCUUGACCGGAUAAUCCUUUGAACCUCGUGAGUCAGGAAUGUAAGACAGUCUUGCUAUCGCUUACUAAUGCAUUCGCGCUUGUUUCGCUCACUCUGCACGUAACCGCCUUACCCGGCGCGCUUGCUGCGCCGAUCUAGGGACGCGUGCUCUUCCCAUUCGGACUGACACAUGGUGCAGACUCCUAUCGGAGGCAGCCUUUUCGCAUACUUCCCCAAUUGGCGAAAGGCUGAUGUACUGCCACCCCAUUAAUUAUGAUAGCCUUCGGAUCUUCCCACUCUCUUAUUUGGAAAAAAACUAUGUGUAAGUAACUGUGCACAUCUUGACGGUACCUAAUCAGAAAGCCACGGCUAACUACGUGCCAGCAGCCGCGGUAAUACGUAGGUGGCAAGCGUUAUCCGGAAUUAUUGGGCGUAAAGCGCGCGUAGGCGGUUUUUUAAGUCUGAUGUGAAAGCCCACGGCUCAACCGUGGAGGGUCAUUGGAAACUGGAAAACUUGAGUGCAGAAGAGGAAAGUGGAAUUCCAUGUGUAGCGGUGAAAUGCGCAGAGAUAUGGAGGAACACCAGUGGCGAAGGCGACUUUCUGGUCUGUAACUGACGCUGAUGUGCGAAAGCGUGGGGAUCAAACAGGAUUAGAUACCCUGGUAGUCCACGCCGUAAACGAUGAGUGCUAAGUGUUAGGGGGUUUCCGCCCCUUAGUGCUGCAGCUAACGCAUUAAGCACUCCGCCUGGGGAGUACGACCGCAAGGUUGAAACUCAAAGGAAUUGACGGGGACCCGCACAAGCGGUGGAGCAUGUGGUUUAAUUCGAAGCAACGCGAAGAACCUUACCAAAUCUUGACAUCCUUUGACAACUCUAGAGAUAGAGCCUUCCUCUUCGGGGGACAAAGUGACAGGUGGUGCAUGGUUGUCGUCAGCUCGUGUCGUGAGAUGUUGGGUUAAGUCCCGCAACGAGCGCAACCCUUAAGCUUAGUUGCCAUCAUUAAGUUGGGCACUCUAAGUUGACUGCCGGUGACAAACCGGAGGAAGGUGGGGAUGACGUCAAAUCAUCAUGCCCCUUAUGAUUUGGGCUACACACGUGCUACAAUGGACAAUACAAAGGGCAGCGAAACCGCGAGGUCAAGCAAAUCCCAUAAAGUUGUUCUCAGUUCGGAUUGUAGUCCGCAACUCGACUACAUGAAGCUGGAAUCGCUAGUAAUCGUAGAUCAGCAUGCUACGGUGAAUACGUUCCCGGGUCU